AGCGAUGAAGCACCUUCGGGUGUGAAUUAGCGGCGAACGGGUGAGGAACACGUGAAGAAUCUGCCUUCAACUCUGGGAUAACUCCGGGAAACCGGGGCUAAUACCGGAUAUGAGCCUUGAUCGCAUGAUCGGGGCUGGAAAGUUUUUCGGUUGAAGAUGACUUCGCGGCCUAUCAGCUUGUUGGUGAGGUAAUGGCUCACCAAGGCGACGACGGGUAGCCGGCCUGAGAGGGCGACCGGCCACACUGGGACUGAGACACGGCCCAGACUCCUACGGGAGGCAGCAGUGGGGAAUAUUGGGCAAUGGAGGAAACUCUGACCCAGCGACGCCGCGUGAGGGAUGAAGGCCUUCGGGUUGUAAACCUCUUUCAGUAGGGAAGAAGCGAAAGUGACGGUACCUACAGAAGAAGCACCGGCUAACUAUGUGCCAGCAGCCGCGGUAAUACAUAGGGUGCAAGCGUUGUCCGGAAUUAUUGGGCGUAAAGAGCUCGUAGGUGGUUCGAUACGUCGGAUGUGAAAAUCAGGGGCUCAACCCCUGACCUGCAUCCGAUACGGUCGAGCUAGAGUUUGGUAGGGGAGACUGGAAUUCCUGGUGUAGCGGUGGAAUGCGCAGAUAUCAGGAGGAACACCGAUGGCGAAGGCAGGUCUCUGGGCCAAUACUGACACUGAGGAGCGAAAGCGUGGGGAGCGAACAGGAUUAGAUACCCUGGUAGUCCACGCCGUAAACGGUGGGCGCUAGUUGUGCGAACCUUCCACGGUUUGUGCGACGCAGCUAACGCAUUAAGCGCCCCGCCUGGGGAGUACGAUCGCAAGAUUAAAACUCAAAGGAAUUGGCGG
This 836-nucleotide ribosomal RNA is filed under the name uncultured Actinomycetales bacterium. Its description in RNAcentral is "bacterial SSU rRNA". It matches the Rfam family "Bacterial small subunit ribosomal RNA", at positions 65 to 916 of the family's 1533-position model. The record is from RNAcentral. Lineage: Bacteria; Bacillati; Actinomycetota; Actinomycetes; Actinomycetales.